Molecule: unclassified non-coding RNA, 308 nt
Filed under: plant metagenome
Description: partial contains 5.8S ribosomal RNA, internal transcribed spacer 2, and large subunit ribosomal RNA
Rfam family: 5.8S ribosomal RNA (bases 1-105)
Source: RNAcentral
GAAAUGCGAUAAGUAAUGUGAAUUGCAGAAUUCAGUGAAUCAUCGAAUCUUUGAACGCACAUUGCGCCUAUUAGUAUUCUAGUAGGCGUGCCUGUUCGAGCGUCAUUUCAACCCUCAAGCCCUGGUUGCUUGGUGUUGGGGACCUGCGGCUGCCCGCAGGCCCUGAAAACCAGUGGCGGGCUCGCUGUCACACCGAGCGUAGUAGCAAUCACCUCGCUCAGGGCGUGCUGCGGGUUCCGGCCGUUAAACAGCCUUACAAAACCCAAGGUUGACCUCGGAUCAGGUAGGAAGACCCGCUGAACUUAAGC